Molecule: ribosomal RNA, 254 nt
Filed under: uncultured bacterium
Lineage: Bacteria
Description: partial 16S ribosomal RNA
Rfam family: Bacterial small subunit ribosomal RNA
Source: RNAcentral
UACGUAGGCAGCGAGCGUUGUUCGGAGUUACUGGGCGUAAAGAGCGCGUAGGCGGCCCAGUAAGUCCGCUCUGAAAGUCAGGGGCUCAACCCCUGAAAUGCGGGUGGAUACUGCUGGGCUAGAGUCCGGAAGAGGCGAGUGGAAUUCCUGGUGUAGCGGUGAAAUGCGCAGAUAUCAGGAGGAACACCGAUGGCGAAGGCAGAUCUCUGGGCCGUUACUGACGCUGAGGAGCGAAAGCGUGGGGAGCGAACAGG